UAGGUGUAUGGGUUCCACAGAGGGGACUUGU
RNAcentral lists this non-coding RNA (31 nucleotides) under Mus musculus (house mouse). The record is from RNAcentral. Lineage: Eukaryota; Metazoa; Chordata; Mammalia; Rodentia; Muridae.